GGGCUAGGAGGGGUCCGGGGGUCGGGGGGUCCCACAGAAGAGCCCCGAGGGGCCCGGGGGUGGUCCGGGGGUCUCACAGCAGAGCCCCGAGGGGUCGGGGGGGGUCCGGGGGUCCCACAGCACAGCCCCGAGGGCUCGGGGGGUCCCACCCCACGGGAAGGGGGUCGAGAGGCCCUUGGGGUACCGUUCGGGGGUCCCGUAUUGGAUCUAGGGAGGCAGAGGGGCUCGGGGGUCCCACCCCAGGUUUUGGGGUGCUCAGGGGUCUGCCCGGGCUGUCACACACAUCUUUCGCACGUGGCACUUUAUUGGGUACACGCUGGGGGAAAUGGGGGGCCACGGGGGGUUUUGUGGGGCCCCAGGUCGUCACCAACAUUUGGGGGUCUCGGGGACUUGGGGGGCACUUUAUUACCCGUAUUGGGGGGGUCACAGGGACCUGAGGGGCGUCUGGGGGGGGUGGUCUCUAGACUGGCACCAGUGCUUGGAAGGCUCAAAGACUUGGGGGGCGCUUCUUACCCGUAUUUGGGGGUCUCACGGAAUUGGGGGAGGUCCCCAGAGGGGCACCAGCACUUCGGGGUCUCGCGGACUUGGGGGGCAGCUGGGGAGGUCCCCAGGCUGGCACCAGCGGUUGGAGGGCUCCCGGCUUUGGGUGGGGCACUUCGUUACCCGUCUUUGGGGGUCUCAAGGACUUGGGGGGCGGCUUGGGGGUCCCCAAGUCCUUAUCAGCACCUGGGGGGCUCAGCUGGGCCGGGCAGUUUGUCGCUCCUCUUCGGGGGGACUUGGGAUCUUCGGGGGGCUCCUCAGAUUGUCACCAGCACUUGGGGGUCUCCAGGAUAUGGGGGGGCUCAGGUUGUCGCCCCUUGGGGGUCCCCAGGGCAGUGUCAGUACUUGGGGGGUUCAGGAACUUGGGUGGGGUCCCCAGAUUGUCACCAGCACUUGGAGGGGUCUCAGGGACAUGUGGGACUGUUUGUUACCCGUAUUUGGGGGUCUCGGGGACCUGGGGGGGCACCUUGGGGGUCUCCAGGUCGUCAUCAACACUUGGGGGUCUCGAGGGCAUGGGGGGGGGCGUCCCCGGAUUGUCACCCGCAUUGGGGGGGGGGGGGGGUCUCAGGGACCUGGGGUGUCCCCGGAUCGUCACCAGCAGCACUUGGGGGGUCUCAGGAGUUUGGGGGUCCCGCCGUUGUCACCCGCAUUUGGGGGUCUCAGGGACUCGGGGGGCGGCUCGGGGGGCCGGCUGUCUCCGCCGCGCCCUACAAGUCUAUGGUGUCGCUGCCGGGGCUGCGGCCGCCGCCCGCGGGGGGCGCGGGGCCGGGGG
RNAcentral lists this long non-coding RNA (1312 nucleotides) under Lonchura striata (white-rumped munia). Its description in RNAcentral is "domestica (Bengalese finch) lncRNA (ENSLSDG00000003664.1)". Lineage: Eukaryota; Metazoa; Chordata; Aves; Passeriformes; Estrildidae. The record is from RNAcentral.